Molecule: ribosomal RNA, 1739 nt
Filed under: Rhodotorula sp. NS01
Lineage: Eukaryota; Fungi; Basidiomycota; Microbotryomycetes; Sporidiobolales; Sporidiobolaceae
Description: eukaryotic LSU rRNA
Rfam family: Eukaryotic large subunit ribosomal RNA (bases 656-1739)
Source: RNAcentral
CGGAUUGGCUAUUGGGAGCUCGCGAGAGCACCCGACUGCCGAGAAGUUGUACGAACUUGGUCAUUUAGAGGAAGUAAAAGUCGUAACAAGGUUUCCGUAGGUGAACCUGCGGAAGGAUCAUUAGUGAAUAUAGGACGUCCAACUUAACUUGGAGUCCGAACUCUCACUUUCUAACCCUGUGCACUUGUUUGGGAUAGUAACUCUCGCAAGAGAGCGAACUCCUAUUCACUUAUUAACACAAAGUCUAUGAAUGUAUUAUAUUUUAUAACAAAAUAAAACUUUCAACAACGGAUCUCUUGGCUCUCGCAUCGAUGAAGAACGCAGCGAAAUGCGAUAAGUAAUGUGAAUUGCAGAAUUCAGUGAAUCAUCGAAUCUUUGAACGCACCUUGCGCUCCAUGGUAUUCCGUGGAGCAUGCCUGUUUGAGUGUCAUGAAUACUUCAACCCUCCUCUUUCUUAAUGAUUGAAGAGGUGUUUGGUUUCUGAGCGCUGCUGGCCUUUACGGUCUAGCUCGUUCGUAAUGCAUUAGCAUCCGCAAUCGAACUUCGGAUUGACUUGGCCGUAAUAGACUAUUCGCUGAGGAAUUCUAGUCUUCGGGAUUAGAGCCGAGUUGGGGUUAAAGGAAGCUUCUAAUCAGAAUGUCUACAUUUUAAGAUUAGAUCUCAAAUCAGGUAGGACUACCCGCUGAACUUAAGCAUAUCAAUAAGCGGAGGAAAAGAAACUAACAAGGAUUCCCCUAGUAGCGGCGAGCGAAGCGGGAAGAGCUCAAAUUUAUAAUCUGGCACCUUCGGUGUCCGAGUUGUAAUCUCUAGAAAUGUUUUCCGCGUUGGACCGCACACAAGUCUGUUGGAAUACAGCGGCAUAGUGGUGAGACCCCCGUAUAUGGUGCGGACGCCCAGCGCUUUGUGAUACAUUUUCGAAGAGUCGAGUUGUUUGGGAAUGCAGCUCAAAUUGGGUGGUAAAUUCCAUCUAAAGCUAAAUAUUGGCGAGAGACCGAUAGCGAACAAGUACCGUGAGGGAAAGAUGAAAAGCACUUUGGAAAGAGAGUUAACAGUACGUGAAAUUGUUGGAAGGGAAACGCUUGAAGUCAGACUUGCUUGCCGAGCAAUCGGUUUGCAGGCCAGCAUCAGUUUUCCGGGAUGGAUAAUGGUAGAGAGAAGGUAGCAGUUUCGGCUGUGUUAUAGCUCUCUGCUGGAUACAUCUUGGGGGACUGAGGAACGCAGUGUGCCUUUGGCGGGGGUUUCGACCUCUUCACACUUAGGAUGCUGGUGGAAUGGCUUUAAACGACCCGUCUUGAAACACGGACCAAGGAGUCUAACAUGCUUGCGAGUAUUUGGGUGUCAAACCCGGAUGCGUAAUGAAAGUGAAUGGAGGUGGGAACCGCAAGGUGCACCAUCGACCGAUCUGGAUUUUUAAUGAUGGAUUUGAGUAAGAGCACGUAUGUUGGGACCCGAAAGAUGGUGAACUAUGCCUGAAUAGGGCGAAGCCAGAGGAAACUCUGGUGGAGGCUCGUAGCGGUUCUGACGUGCAAAUCGAUCGUCAAAUUUGGGUAUAGGGGCGAAAGACUAAUCGAACCAUCUAGUAGCUGGUUCCUGCCGAAGUUUCCCUCAGGAUAGCAGAAACUCACAUCAGUUCUAUGAGGUAAAGCGAAUGAUUAGAGGCCUUGGGGUUGAAACAACCUUAACCUAUUCUCAAACUUUAAAUAUGUAGGAAGUCCUUGCUACUUAAUUGAGCGAGGACA